RNAcentral lists this ribosomal RNA (253 nucleotides) under uncultured bacterium. Its description in RNAcentral is "partial 16S ribosomal RNA". It matches the Rfam family "Bacterial small subunit ribosomal RNA", at positions 524 to 776 of the family's 1533-position model. RNAcentral also lists the same sequence under 1 other name. The record is from RNAcentral.
UACGUAGGGGCCGAGCGUUGUCCGGAGUUACUGGGCGUAAAGCGCGCGCAGGCGGCUCGUCAAGCCUGACGUGAAAGCCCCCGGCUCAACCGGGGAGGGUCGUCGGGGACUGGCGAGCUUGAGGUCGGCAGGGGCUGGUGGAAUUCCCGGUGUAGUGGUGAAAUGCGUAGAGAUCGGGAGGAACACCCGUGGCGAAGGCGGCCAGCUGGGCCGGACCUGACGCUGAGGCGCGAAGGCGUGGGGAGCGAACGGG